RNAcentral lists this ribosomal RNA (1336 nucleotides) under metagenome. RNAcentral describes it as "bacterial LSU rRNA". It matches the Rfam family "Bacterial large subunit ribosomal RNA", at positions 1564 to 2910 of the family's 2925-position model. The record is from RNAcentral.
UGAGUACGAGCUGCUACGGCAGCGAAGUGGGUGACGUCAAGCUUCCAAGAAAAGCCCUACACCCGUUAAGGCAUGAUGGCCUGUACCCGAAACCGACACAGGUAGGAUGGUAGAGAAUACCGAGGGGCGCGAGGUAACUCUCUCUAAGGAACUCGGCAAAAUGGCCCCGUAACUUCGGGAGAAGGGGUGCCACCGCAAGGUGGUCGCAGUGAAGAGGCCCAGGCACUGUUUACCAAAAACACAGGUCUCCGCUAAGUCGCAAGACGAUGUAUGGGGGCUGACGCCUGCCCAGUGCCGGAAGGUUAAGGAAGCUGGUCAGCGCAAGCGAAGCUGGCGACUGAAGCCCCGGUGAACGGCGGCCGUAACGAUAACGGUCCUAAGGUAGCGAAAUUCCUUGUCGGGUAAGUUCCGACCCGCACGAAAGGCGUAACGAUCUGGGCGCUGUCUCGGAGAGAGGCUCGGCGAAAUAGAAUUGUCUGUGAAGAUGCGGACUACGUGCACCCGGACAGAAAGACCCUAUGAAGCUUUACUGUAGCUUGGUAUUGUGCCCGGGCUCUGAAUGCGCAGGAUAGGUGGGAGGCUUUGAUCAACAGCUUGCGGGUUGUUGUGAGCCAACGGUGAGAUACCACUCUUUCAGAGCUAGGGUUCUAACGGUCACCCGUUAUCCGGGGACCGGACAGUAUCAGGUGGGCAGUUUGACUGGGGCGGUCGCCUCCUAAAAGGUAACGGAGGCGCGCAAAGGUUUGCUCAGGCUGGUUGGAAAUCAGCCGACGAGUGUAAAAGCAGAAGCAAGCUUGACUGUGAGACCUACAAGUCGAACAGGGACGAAAGUCGGCUUUAGUGAUCCGACGGUUCUGAGUGGAAGGGCCGUCGCUCAACGGAUAAAAGUUACUCUAGGAUAACAGGCUGAUCUCCCCCAAGAGUUCACAUCGACGGGGAGGUUUGGCACCUCGAUGUCGGCUCAUCGCAACCUGGGGCUGAAGUCGGUCCCAAGGGUUGGGCUGUUCGCCCAUUAAAGCGGUACGCGAGCUGGGUUCAGAACGUCGUGAGACAGUUCGGUCCAUAUCCGGUGCAUGCGCAGGAAUAUUGAGAGGAGUUCUCCCUAGUACGAGAGGACCGGGAGGAACGCACCUCUGGUGUACCAGUUAUCGUGCCAACGGUAAACGCUGGGUAGCCAUGUGCGGAGAGGAUAACCGCUGAAAGCAUCUAAGUGGGAAGCCCACCUCAAGAUGAGUAUUCCCAUGGCAUAAGCCAGUAAGGUCACGGGAAGAACACCCGUUGAUAGGCUCUACGUGGAAGCGCAGUAAUGCGUGAAGCGGAGGAGUACUAAUAGACC